GCCAGGCGUGGUGGCGCAUGCCUGUAAUCCCAGCUACUGGGGAGGCUGAGGCAGGAUAAUCGCUUGAACCCGGGAGGCAGAGGUUGCGGUGAGCUAUCGCGCCAUUGCACUCCAGCCUGGGUGACAGAGCGAGACUCCGUCUCAA
Unclassified non-coding RNA from Pongo abelii (Sumatran orangutan), 145 nucleotides. It matches the Rfam family "Metazoan signal recognition particle RNA". Rfam says of the family: The signal recognition particle (SRP) is a universally conserved ribonucleoprotein. Lineage: Eukaryota; Metazoa; Chordata; Mammalia; Primates; Hominidae. The record is from Ensembl.